This 556-nucleotide ribosomal RNA is filed under the name uncultured Glomus. RNAcentral describes it as "SSU rRNA". It matches the Rfam family "Eukaryotic small subunit ribosomal RNA", at positions 539 to 1099 of the family's 1831-position model. The record is from RNAcentral. Lineage: Eukaryota; Fungi; Glomeromycota; Glomeromycetes; Glomerales; Glomeraceae.
UUCGAUUUGGAGGGCAAGUCUGGUGCCAGCAGCCGCGGUAAUUCCAGCUCCAAUAGCGUAUAUUAAAGUUGUUGCAGUUAAAAAGCUCGUAGUUGAAUUUCGGGGUUAGUAGGUUGGUCAUGCCUCUGGUAUGUACUGGUCUCACUGAUUCCUCCUUCCUUAUGAACCGUAAUGCCAUUAAUUUGGUGUUGCGGGGAAUUUGGACUGUUACUUUGAAAAAAUUAGAGUGUUUAAAGCAAGCUAACGCUUGAAUACAUUAGCAUGGAAUAAUGAAAUAGGACGUUCGAUCUUAUUUUGUUGGUUUCUAGGAUUGACGUAAUGAUUAAUAGGGAUAGUUGGGGGCAUUAGUAUUCAAUUGUCAGAGGUGAAAUUCUUGGAUUUAUUGAAGACUAACUACUGCGAAAGCAUUUGCCAAGGAUGUUUUCAUUAAUCAAGAACGAAAGUUAGGGGAUCGAAGACGAUCAGAUACCGUCGUAGUCUUAACCAUAAACUAUGCCGACUAGGGAUCGGAUGAUGUUAAUUUUUUAAUGACUCAUUCGGCGCCUUACGGGAAACA